CAAAACCCGGUGGCCCAGCCCAAACCGCCAAAAACCGAAAAAAAUAAGAUAAUUGGGCGGUUUCAAAUGGGUGAACGGUUUGAACGGGCCCAGAUGCGGUUUAAAUCGGUUUUUAAUGGGCGGGUCCGGUUGAAUAAAGCUGAACCGCAGGUGUCCUGGCCCGCCCGUUUCACUACCUAUGUAAAAUUAGGUUUAAUGAGUUUCCACUUAACCACUCACUCUCUCACUUGCCUGGGAGAAAACAUUUUUCUUCUCAUCCCUCACGCCUCAGAACCCUAGCCGCCACAGAACCAUGACCACCACCACUAUUACCAAUCAUCACCAUUCACCAUAAGUCAGCCACGAUAACCACCUCCACCACUCACCUUCAUGAUACAGAGGUUUUCAUCUCUCACCAGUCAAAAUGGAUAAUCUUGUCAUCCUCGUGAAGUUGUAUUCUUCAAUGUUAUGUUGUUUGCAAGGUUAACAAACCUGUCAUCUACGUGGAUCUUCAUCGUUCAACAUUCUUCUUCUUAUUUGCACGUGUUAAGUUUCCUCCUCAGUUAUGUGUGUCAUUUUGUUCAAGAUGAUUUGGUUUGCAGCAGGACCAUAUUGUUCUAGGGUGAUAUUCAGGGUAUCAUUCUAAUUAGGCUGCAUAGGGAAACAAGUCAGAUUUAUAUUAAUUGUGUGAAUAAAUCUGAUUUAUUUGGUAUAUUUUCCUCUAAAAAGAUUUGAUACAAAUGUUAUUACUUAAUUUUGUUAUAUUUUGUUUGCAUUUGCGAACAAGAAAAAGUAUGUAGAAUUAUCUCAUAAAAGAAGAAACAAGAUAUUAUAUAAUCUUAUUUUCUUUUCUUUUGUUCUUGUUUAAUUGCUUCUGUACAGGAUAAAGAAGAUCAGCUGAACUCAAGAUCUGCAGAGCCAUUGAUCAAAAAUUGAUGAAGAAAUUAAAUGCUUCCCUUAUUUUCAAUGAUACUGUUAUUUAAUUUUUAUUUGUUUGUAAUGGCUUGUGUUUAUUUUUGGGAUGA
Vicia villosa (hairy vetch) is the source of this 1004-nucleotide long non-coding RNA. RefSeq lists it as uncharacterized. The transcript has 4 exons. The record is from RefSeq and is a predicted model, not a curated record. NCBI's taxonomy places the organism in Eukaryota, Viridiplantae, Streptophyta, Magnoliopsida, Fabales, Fabaceae.